Molecule: ribosomal RNA, 300 nt
Filed under: uncultured Clostridium sp.
Lineage: Bacteria; Bacillati; Bacillota; Clostridia; Eubacteriales; Clostridiaceae
Description: bacterial SSU rRNA
Rfam family: Bacterial small subunit ribosomal RNA
Source: RNAcentral
GCUAAAUGCGGGCGAGCGGUGGGGGUAGUUAGUAUGGGGGAAGGGUUGUGCGGAUUGAUGGGGCGGAAAGAGCGGGGAGGCGGCCUGGAAGGUCAGCUGUGAAAACUGGAGGCUCAACCUCGAGACGUCGGUUGAAACCACCUGGCUAGAGUCCGGAAGAGGAGAGUGGAAUUCCCGGGGUAGCGGUGAAAUGCGCAGAUAUCGGGAAGAACACCCGUGGCGAAGGCGGCUCUCUGGGACGGUACUGACGCUGAGACGCGAAAGCGUGGGGAGCGAACAGGAUUAGAUACCCUAGUAGUC